UACGUAGGUGGCAAGCGUUGUCCGGAAUUACUGGGUGUAAAGGGAGCGUAGGCGGGAAUGCAAGUUGAAUGUCUAAACUAUGGGCUCAACCCAUAGUUGCGUUCAAAACUGCAUUUCUUGAGUGGAGUAGAGGCAGGCGGAAUUCCUAGUGUAGCGGUGAAAUGCGUAGAUAUUAGGAGGAACACCAGUGGCGAAGGCGGCCUGCUGGGCUCUAACUGACGCUGAGGCUCGAAAGCGUGGGUAGCAAACAGG
RNAcentral lists this ribosomal RNA (252 nucleotides) under uncultured bacterium. Its description in RNAcentral is "partial 16S ribosomal RNA". It matches the Rfam family "Bacterial small subunit ribosomal RNA", at positions 524 to 776 of the family's 1533-position model. The record is from RNAcentral.